This 303-nucleotide signal recognition particle RNA is filed under the name Saimiri boliviensis boliviensis (Bolivian squirrel monkey). RNAcentral's name for it is "Metazoan signal recognition particle RNA (ENSSBOG00000004664.1)". It matches the Rfam family "Metazoan signal recognition particle RNA". Rfam says of the family: The signal recognition particle (SRP) is a universally conserved ribonucleoprotein. The record is from RNAcentral. Lineage: Eukaryota; Metazoa; Chordata; Mammalia; Primates; Cebidae.
GCCACUGCAGGUGCGGUGGCGCAUGCCUGUAGUCAAAGCUACUCGGGAGGCUGAGGCUGGAGGAUCUCUUGAGCCUAGGAGUUCUGGGCUGCAGUCGCUAUGCCAAUCGGGUGUCCGCACUAAGUUCAGCAUCAAUAUGGUGACCUCCCGGGAGCGGGGGACCACCAGGUUGCCUCAGGAGGGGUGUACGGGCCCAGGUCGGAAACAGAGCAGGUCAAAACUCCCGUGCUGAUCAGUAGUGGGAUGGCGCCUGUGAAUAGUCGCUGCACUCCAGCCUGGGCAACAUAGCAAGACCCCGUCUCU